CUUGAUGGUGGCUGUGCACAGGGCGCUCUCGGGCGCGCCGGUCUUGCCAAUUCCUCCGGUCGACUAACCUGCGUACAGCCGCCACCCUU
Molecule: non-coding RNA, 89 nt
Filed under: Pseudomonas sp. SJZ074
Lineage: Bacteria; Pseudomonadati; Pseudomonadota; Gammaproteobacteria; Pseudomonadales; Pseudomonadaceae
Also listed under: 1 other name
Source: RNAcentral